GAUGAACGCUGGCGGCGUGCCUAAUACAUGCAAGUCGAGCGAACGGACGAGAAGCUUGCUUCUCUGAUGUUAGCGGCGGACGGGUGAGUAACACGUGGAUAACCUACCUAUAAGACUGGGAUAACUUCGGGAAACCGGAGCUAAUACCGGAUAAUAUUUUGAACCGCAUGGUUCAAAAGUGAAAGACGGUCUUGCUGUCACUUAUAGAUGGAUCCGCGCUGCAUUAGCUAGUUGGUAAGGUAACGGCUUACCAAGGCAACGAUGCAUAGCCGACCUGAGAGGGUGAUCGACCACACUGGAACUGAGCCACGGUCCAGACUCCUACGGGAGGCAGCAGUAGGGAAUCUUCCGCAAUUGGCGAAAGCCUGACGGAACAACGCCGCGUGAGUGAUGAAGGUCUUCGGAUCGUAAAACUCUGUUAUUAGGGAAGAACAUAUGUGUAAGUAACAGUGCACAUCUUGACGGUACCUAAUCAGAAAGCCACGGCUAACUACGUG
This 497-nucleotide ribosomal RNA is filed under the name uncultured bacterium. Its description in RNAcentral is "partial 16S ribosomal RNA". It matches the Rfam family "Bacterial small subunit ribosomal RNA", at positions 28 to 507 of the family's 1533-position model. The record is from RNAcentral.